AGUGAACGCUGGCGGUAGGCCUAACACAUGCAAGUCGAACGGCAGCACAGGAGAGCUUGCUCUCUAGGUGGCGAGUGGCGGACGGGUGAGGAAUACAUCGGAAUCUGCCCAGUCGUGGGGGAUAACGUAGGGAAACUUACGCUAAUACCGCAUACGACCUUCGGGUGAAAGAGGGGGAUCGCAAGACCUCUCGCGAUUGGAUGAGCCGAUGUCGGAUUAGCUAGUUAGCGGGGUAAUGGCCCACCAAGGCGACGAUCCGUAGCUGGGCUGAGAGGAUGAUCAGCCACACUGGAACUGAGACACGGUCCAGACUCCUACGGGAGGCAGCAGUGGGGAAUAUUGGACAAUGGGCGCAAGCCUGAUCCAGCCAUACCGCGUGGGUGAAGAAGGCCUUCGGGUUGUAAAGCCCUUUUGUUGGGAAAGAAAUCUUUCAGGCUAAUACCCUGGGAGGAUGACGGUACCCAAAGAAUAAGCACCGGCUAACUUCGUG
This 490-nucleotide ribosomal RNA is filed under the name uncultured bacterium. Its description in RNAcentral is "partial 16S ribosomal RNA". It matches the Rfam family "Bacterial small subunit ribosomal RNA", at positions 29 to 507 of the family's 1533-position model. The record is from RNAcentral.